AUUAAAGUUGUUGCGGUUAAAAAGCUCGUAGUUGGACUUUGGGGUCGAGCGUUACAGACCCUCUCGGUUCUGCCGGGGGGAAUCAGUCUGGAUGUUUCUUCCUCUUUCUCGGAACGUUAACAGGGGUUCAUGGUUCGCCAUGUUCUCUUGGUUUCGCAGGAUUUACUUUGAAUAAAUUAGGGUGUUCAAAGCAGGCGCAACUCGCCUUGAAUACAUUAGCAUGGGAUAAUAGAAUAUGACCUUUGGUCUACUUAUUGGUUUCUAAGGCCAAGGUAAUGAUUAAUAGGGAUAGUUGAGGUCGCUCGUAUUCAAUGGUCAGAGGUGAAAUUCUAAGACCCAUUGAGGACGAACAAAUGCGAAGGCAUUCGACAAGGAUGUUUUCAUUAAUCAAGAACGAAAGUUGUGGGAUCGAAGAUGAUUAGAUACCGUCGUAGUCACAACCGUAAACCAUGUCGACUCAGGAUCCGGGGAUGUUACAUGGAUGACUCUCCGGGCACUGUGUGCGAAAGCAUAAGUAUUCUGACUCCGGGGGGAGUAUGGUCGCAAGGCUGAAACUUAAAGGAAUUGACGGAAGGGCACCACCAGGAGUAGAACCUGCGGCUUAAUUUGACUCAACACGGGGAAACUUACCCAGUCCGGACACAACGAGGAUUGACAGAUUGAUAGCUCUUUCUUGAUUUUGUGGAAGCCGGUGCAUGGCCGUUUUUAGUUGGUGGAGUGAUUUGUCUGGUUUAGUCCGAUAACGAACGAGACCAUAAUCUGCUAAAUAGUGUCGUUAACAAGGAGACUUACGGGGCGGUCGGGUUUACUCGGCAGUUUCGUGGGUUUCCACUAAAUUGUUGGCGAAAGAUUUACUUCUUAGAGAGACUCUUGAUGAUGCAAAAAUCAAUGGAAGAAUAUGGCAAAAACAGGUCUGUGAUGCCGCUCGAUGUCUGGGGCUGCACGCGCGUUACACUGAGAUGUUCAACAAGUAUUAUUCAUGACCUGGCCCGAAGGGGUUCAGGUAAUCUCGAAAGCAUUUCGUGAUGGGGAUUGUGCCUUGAAACUAUUGCACAUGAACGAGGAAUUCCUAGUAAGGGUAGGUCAUCAACCUGCCCUGAUUACGUCCCUGCCCUUUGUACACACCGCCCGUCGCUUCUACCGAUCGAAUUGCUCGAUGAGGACUCGGGAUGAGGGGGUAACUCGUAGGCUGAAAGGUCUGCGCGUCCUCUUCAGAACCU
This 1220-nucleotide ribosomal RNA is filed under the name metagenome. RNAcentral describes it as "SSU rRNA". It matches the Rfam family "Eukaryotic small subunit ribosomal RNA", at positions 603 to 1756 of the family's 1831-position model. The record is from RNAcentral.